Molecule: long non-coding RNA, 1615 nt
Organism: Seriola dumerili (greater amberjack)
Lineage: Eukaryota; Metazoa; Chordata; Actinopteri; Carangiformes; Carangidae
Exons: 4
Source: RefSeq, a predicted model, not a curated record
CAUCGCACCCGCGGCAGGGAGGCUCGUUGGAGCUGAAGCAGGGAACCAUCACUGCACCGGACCGUAAAGAGGAACCAGGUUCUUUCACUGUCGCUUAUUGGAAAUAAUCACACUGAUCGAUCUGCCUUGAUUUGCCAGAGCACAAAUCAGUUUACGCAAGGAUUCUUUGGGAGAGGAUUAAAUGCUAACAUUAGAGCACUGACACGCGUGGAGCUAUUAUUGUUAUUAUUGUUAUUAUCAUUGGUAAAACUUGAUCACGAUGACAACAGCUGCUGGAUUCAACAGUCCAGCUGUGGAUCGCCCUGGAGGAUAUAAGGAAAUACUGUCUCUUACACGGGAUGAACGGUGUCUUAACACUGCCGCUGCCCCAAGUCCUGCUGCUGGACAAGCUGUUUUGUUGGACACACGAGUCUCUUGGGAUAUUUCACGCGUGUUCGCGGGUGGCCAGUGUUGUAGAUGGCCGAUAACGUGAUAUGCUUUUGGAAAUUUGUUGUGGUGGAUUUUGGCGCACGGGAAAGGAAUAUCCUGGAAUAUAUUUUGGAAGCGAUGCUCAGCAGAUGUCCAGCGAUUUGGAUAAUGACAGUGCGCAUCAACUCAUCCAGCAGUGAAGGAAUCCAAAUUCCUAGAAUAAGAUGUCAACCUUUAAUUGCUUCUCAGGGAUCUUCUGAUGAUCUCAGAUGAGCAACAAGAAGAGGUUGACUAAUGGAAACAUGAUCUCAAGGGAUUCAACAGGAUCAUACUAAAUCCUGGUUUGGACUGUGGACCAGCAAUCCCCUGCAGCAGAUGUUUGCUCCUGGCAUGGCAGCUGACAGCAUGAGCUCCAUCACUGACAAUCGUGCGCUCAGGAUCCAGCGCCAGCAGCUUGGACUUGGAGAAGCUGUGACAUAAACUCAGCAGGACAGGAGAGUGUAUUCUGCUGCUCAGACAUUAUGGAACAGAUCAGUCAGCCCUGUCUGGGGAGGUGCUCGAUAGGAAAGUCGAAACUCGAUGAAUGUGCGUUUACCAUAGUCACCACAAUGAAUCUACAUAUUAUUUGACUUUGUCUUAAUUGAACCUGGAUUAAUAUUUUCCUGUAUAUACAUCUGCUUCUGAUAUCCACUGUUUAUUCACACUGUUGCUCAUACACUUGUACUGUAGUUGUGACAUUUACUGUGUUAUUCUGGGACCCGUAUCAACAAGUGCUGGAACCGUAAAUGGAAAAUAAUCAGAUGCUAUUUUCAUUUUUAAGACUAUUUUAACAAACUGAAGGCAGCGCUUGCAACAGCGCAGGCACAUUCUGUCUGGUGAAGAGCACAAUAAAUGUCUACUGUUGUGUAGGACAAAUAUAUACAUAUGUGGUCAAGAUUCCUUGCAAUAAUUACUCAUAUGAUUACUGGAAAUGUACAUAAUCAUCUUCUAAGGUCAAUAACAAAGAAGCUAUUAUCUAAAAGGUGCUGAUGAAUGCAAAUCAAAAACCUCUUCUAUUGACACUGUGUUUCACUGUGACAGAUUGACAGCCCGUCAUAUUGCUUAAUAACCCUGUCAAGCUGCUUAUUCUCAUGAUGAUUUGUAACUCCAUAACUUUUGUUGCGUCUGUGAAACCCUAUUAACAGAAAUAAUAAUAAAACAAAGUGUA